UACGGAGGGUGCGAGCGUUGUCCGGAAUCACUGGGCGUAAAGCGCACGUAGGCGGACUCUUAAGUCGGUGGUGAAAUCCUGGAGCUCAACUCCAGAACUGCCUUCGAUACUGAGAGUCUCGAGUCCGGGAGAGGUGAGUGGAACUGCGAGUGUAGAGGUGAAAUUCGUAGAUAUUCGCAAGAACACCAGUGGCGAAGGCGGCUCACUGGCCCGGUACUGACGCUGAGGUGCGAAAGCGUGGGGAGCAAACAGG
This 253-nucleotide ribosomal RNA is filed under the name uncultured bacterium. Its description in RNAcentral is "partial 16S ribosomal RNA". It matches the Rfam family "Bacterial small subunit ribosomal RNA", at positions 524 to 776 of the family's 1533-position model. The record is from RNAcentral.